AUACAUGCAGUCGAGCGGACAGAAGGGAGCUUGCUCCCGGAUGUUAGCGGCGGACGGGUGAGUAACACGUGGGUAACCUGCCUGUAAGACUGGGAUAACUCCGGGAAACCGGAGCUAAUACCGGAUAGUUCCUUGAACCGCAUGGUUCAAGGAUGAAAGACGGUUUCGGCUGUCACUUACAGAUGGACCCGCGGCGCAUUAGCUAGUUGGUGAGGUAACGGCUCACCAAGGCGACGAUGCGUAGCCGACCUGAGAGGGUGAUCGGCCACACUGGGACUGAGACACGGCCCAGACUCCUACGGGAGGCAGCAGUAGGGAAUCUUCCGCAAUGGACGAAAGUCUGACGGAGCAACGCCGCGUGAGUGAUGAAGGUUUUCGGAUCGUAAAGCUCUGUUGUUAGGGAAGAACAAGUGCAAGAGUAACUGCUUGCACCUUGACGGUACCUAACCAGAAAGCCACGGCUAACUACGUGCAGCCAGCCACA
RNAcentral lists this ribosomal RNA (484 nucleotides) under Bacillus stratosphericus. RNAcentral's name for it is "bacterial SSU rRNA". It matches the Rfam family "Bacterial small subunit ribosomal RNA", at positions 51 to 519 of the family's 1533-position model. Lineage: Bacteria; Bacillati; Bacillota; Bacilli; Caryophanales; Bacillaceae. The record is from RNAcentral.